RNAcentral lists this RNase P RNA (339 nucleotides) under bovine gut metagenome. RNAcentral's name for it is "Bacterial RNase P class A". It matches the Rfam family "Bacterial RNase P class A". Rfam says of the family: Ribonuclease P (RNase P) is a ubiquitous endoribonuclease, found in archaea, bacteria and eukarya as well as chloroplasts and mitochondria. Its best characterised activity is the generation of mature 5'-ends of tRNAs by cleaving the 5'-leader elements of precursor-tRNAs. The record is from RNAcentral.
CGGUCGCUGGUUCUUUGAAUCAGAGGAAAGUCCGGACUCUUCAGGGCAGAUGGCCGGCUAACAGCCGGGAGCAGCGAUGCUACGGAAAGUGCAACAGAAAGUAAACUACCCGAUUUAUCGGGAAAAGGUGAAACGGCGAGUUAAGAGCUCACCGGGACAGCAGUAAUGUUGUUCGCUCGGCAAACCCCCAUCGGAGCAAGGUCUAAUAGAAAUGCCAUUUGCUGCGGCAGAUAAGGAACGCCCGUCCGACGCAUUCGGGUUGACCGCUUGAGAUUGCCGGUAACGACAAUCCUAGAUGAAUGACCGGUUUUAUACAGAAUCCGGCUUAUGUGUUGCUUU